UCACUUUGCAUCCUUCUAAUAUUGUAUGCUGCUGCCCAUCUUUCCACAUGUCCACCUAGCUCACUAGAACAAGGGGACUGAAAAACUACUUUAGGUCAAUGGUUUACAGGUAAUUGUAGAGGGAAUAAUAUUUAUUACAAGAAAAAUCUUGGGAGCAUACCAAAGAAAUAUGGUACAGGAAGAUGAGGAGGAGACCACUGUGGCAAAUCAAGGCGUCUGAGAGGCAAGGUAGGCUGACUGAAGAUUUGUGUCCCUUCUCUGCUCUGUGUGAAUGGUGACUGCACACUCAAUUGUCAGGUGGCUCACUGUGUCUUCUGGUGCCCUUCUUGUCCUCAUCCGCAUUGCCUGCUACCACUUUCUUUCCACCUUUGCCUAACUUUUCUCAGUUAUCAUUUUCCUUGAAGGUAGGACUGGAUUUUAUUUGUUGAGGGAUUCUGACUUAUAAUGUGGUUCUAGCUGCAUCUAAGUUCAUCAGAAAUUACCUAGCCGGGCUGUGGUAUGAGAAUGGGGCUGUCUCACUGCACACCCUAGGCUCGUGAUGGUCUAAAGCACUCACCACAUGCUGUAGCACUCAGUAACUGCUUUUCUUCAAAGUUCUUCAUUCUGAGUUAUAAUCAGCCUCAUGGAGGGUUGGGAGCAGUGAGCACUCUCAGCCAUUGCUGGUGGUAUAACAUGAUAUAGCACAGUGAGAAGCCACAGACUCUUCUUCAGAAAGUUAAACUGCAGUUCACAGGUGAACCAGUGAUUCCAGAACAUGAAGUAGGUGUCCAAGGAGAAGCUAGGGGACAUUAGUGCUGUAGCAGCAUUCCUCAGAGUAGCCUCAAAGUAGAAACUAUCUAGAUGUCUACAUUCACUGAGUGAAAAAGUACAAUGUGAUUGAGCCCUUCCAUGAAUCGUUCAGCAUGAAAUAAUACAUGUAAUCAUUUGGCCCUGAUCAGCCUUUUGUUGCUCAAAGAAAUCCUUGACACAAUCACAUUACAGGGAGGAAUUGUUGAUUUUGACUCUGUUGUGGAGAUUCUCUAGUUUCCUGGGCUUCUGGGUUUUCUAGUUUUCUCUGACAUUAGGCAGCCUGUGGUAAAGGGAGUUUUUUUGGAGGAAGUUGCUCACCUUGGGGCCAACUGGGAAUUAGUGAAUAAGACCAGUGAGCUGGUCCAGUUGUCCUGUGCUGGGGAACAUUCCUAUACUGCACAGCCUGGGGAACUUCCUAAGCAGGGUUGGCUAACCAACCAGUACCUGAGAGGUCCACAUGUCCGUGCAUUAGUUUCAUAGGAGAGGCACUUCAAUGAUUGAGCUGCCUGUUUCUCAUGGCCACUGUAUUCUUCUCUCAUCCUACAAAAGUUAAUCUUCUUCUCAAUAGUAUCCCUGGUGAUUGCUCCUUAUAUUAACAUUAGCUGGGAAAUUAAACAUGUUACUGCAUUAGAGUGUGCUUGUAUGUGUGCACACAUGUACUUGUGUGUGUUCAUGAGUUUGUGUGCAUAUGGUGAGCAAGCCACCACUGAGAACACAGCCUUCUAAUGAACAGGAGCAAGAGAGUCUGGAUGAAAUACUGAAGGACCUGCUGAAGCAGAAGGAGCUGGUCACCCAGGAAAGGGACUUGGCAGAAAAGCUACAACAUCACUUCAGUGUCACUGAGAUGAGAACAUCACCUUUAGAGAGAAGUUCAUACCUUUGGACAGAUCUGUAUGCAGCACACUCCUGCAGAUUACAGGUUCUCUGCACUGUGCAUCUGUUUCCUGUGAAAAGAUUUUUCUGUUAUAAGAAGAUUUAGGGGUUGAGGAGUUGAACCUAUGCAGAUCUUGAGAGAACUGAGGAGGCCAAAGAAGCCAAAGAUGCCUUGAACCCAUGAAGCUCUCCACCUCAGAUCAAGGUCUGCUCAGAAGACAUCCCGUAUAGUUGUGAUCUCACCAGUGAGGCAAAUACCAUCUGACCUCCAGGUGAUCCAGCCCCCGUCAAUAGAUCUGUUGACUCAGGACUCCUGAAGAAAAGAAAGCAUCACAAAAAACUCAAGACAGAAAAACCUGAGACAAGAAUUAUUGGGAACCCUGACAUUCAACAGCAAGUGGCCCCUGUGAGGGCAACAACAACAUGGAGGGUAGAGAUGUUGGUGAGCAAGACAUUUUCUGACAGUUUAAUGUCGAUGGCUUUGGCAAGCUGACUGAGUCCUUAGCCCUCCCUAGGUGGAGGGAAAUCUGUCAUGGAAGACUGUUGAUGUCAAGCUGUUCCUGACAGACUACACCAAAAAAACAUCAUUUUUAUUCUCCAGGCCAGUGCUGAAGCUGACUCCAUGUCCUGCACAAGUGUUGCUGAGGAUAAUGCACCACAGAGAUCUCCACAGUCCAACAUUCCCCGGGUUAGACAUUUUUUCCUACAUAUUUAAAAUCAGUGGGUAUUUCUCCAUUUCUCAGCUUGAACUGAAGUGACUAGUCCUGAGAAAGGAUUUAUAGAAGACAUCUGAGUCAUCUUUGAUGUUUUUUGGUACUCAGAUGCUGCCCACGUAUUUGUGGGGUCUCUAGUAAGCACACAAGAGUCUGUAUGCUGAAAGAAUCAAAUAGUGACCAAGACAUUACAGGAUCAGCAGUGUGUGAUAAUUUAUCAAAAGCUUCCCAGAGGGGCACAAAGAAUGCUCUAGAAAAUGUCUCAUCCUUAGACUCGGUGAAGGCUUGGCCUACAAAGCCUGAAGGAGGCAUGACUAUACUAGUUUUGAAAAGGCUUUUUACAAUCGCUGACUGCCUUCCUACCAUGUUUCCAAGGCCAGCCACAGGCUGUAGGUCUGUGCUGCUAACUGUGCAGCAGAGAAUGCUGCUGGCCUUAAUUGUUUUUUGUUUGGUUUUUGGUUGCUUUGAGUUUUUGUUUUGUUUUGUUUUCUUUGUUAUAGAUUGAGAUUUUGCUAUUUAUUUGUUCUUUCUUUUGUUCUUGUUGUUAUUUGGGUAUUUUGCUAAGGCUGUUCACUGUUUAUAUUGACUG
Long non-coding RNA from Peromyscus eremicus (cactus mouse), 2964 nucleotides. RefSeq lists it as uncharacterized. The transcript has 3 exons. Lineage: Eukaryota; Metazoa; Chordata; Mammalia; Rodentia; Cricetidae. The record is from RefSeq and is a predicted model, not a curated record.